This 489-nucleotide ribosomal RNA is filed under the name uncultured bacterium. RNAcentral's name for it is "bacterial SSU rRNA". It matches the Rfam family "Bacterial small subunit ribosomal RNA", at positions 30 to 494 of the family's 1533-position model. The record is from RNAcentral.
AUUGAACGCUGGCGGCAGGCCUAACACAUGCAAGUCGAGCGGAAACGAGUUAACUGAACCUUCGGGGAACGUUAACGGCGUCGAGCGGCGGACGGGUGAGUAAUGCCUGGGAAAUUGCCCUGAUGUGGGGGAUAACCAUUGGAAACGAUGGCUAAUACCGCAUAAUAGCUUCGGCUCAAAGAGGGGGACCUUCGGGCCUCUCGCGUCAGGAUAUGCCCAGGUGGGAUUAGCUAGUUGGUGAGGUAAUGGCUCACCAAGGCGACGAUCCCUAGCUGGUCUGAGAGGAUGAUCAGCCACACUGGAACUGAGACACGGUCCAGACUCCUACGGGAGGCAGCAGUGGGGAAUAUUGCACAAUGGGCGCAAGCCUGAUGCAGCCAUGCCGCGUGUGUGAAGAAGGCCUUUCGGGUUUGUAAAGCACUUUCAGCAGUGAGGAAGGCGGGUACGUUAAUAGCGUAUUCGUUUGACGUUAGCUGCAGAAGAAGCACC